Molecule: RNA transcript, 2002 nt
Organism: Helianthus annuus (common sunflower)
Lineage: Eukaryota; Viridiplantae; Streptophyta; Magnoliopsida; Asterales; Asteraceae
Gene name: succinate-semialdehyde dehydrogenase, mitochondrial
Exons: 19
Source: RefSeq, a predicted model, not a curated record
AAGGAGUCACAUUGGUUUUGUAGUUACUACUUCCCCUCACGGGGUUUGUCUAUAUAGGAAAUUAUGUGUUUGGACAUGUGUGAUGGUGGAAUUCACCCAUGUGAUCAACAACCUCAAACUAUCAUCUAAUUUGUGGCCACAACGACCAUUUUUAUCCAUCGAGAUGAGCAUGCAAACUCUAAGUGUUGUUGGUCGGCUCAGGAAUUGUGGGUUAUUGAAAACCAGAGGUCUUAUUGGAGGAAAAUGGACCGAUGCAUAUGACGGCAGAACUAUUCAGGUUAACAACCCUGCGGAUGGUGAAGUUAUAGCUACUGUUCCAUGCAUGGGUGAGAUGGAAACGAAAGAUGCGAUUUCGGCAGCGUAUGAUGCUUUUACCCACUGGAGCAAACUCACUGCUGCUGACAGGAGUAGCCGCCUUCGUAACUGGUAUAAUUUACUGAUCGCACACAAACAAGAGAUUGGACAACUCUUAACUUUGGAGCAAGGAAAACCUCUAAGAGAAGCUAUUGCGGAGGUGGCAUAUGCGGCUAGAUUCAUAGAGUUGUUUGCAGAGGAGGCAAAACGCGUUUAUGGCGAUAUAAUUCCAUCGCCACUGCCUAAUCGCCGCUUGUUUGUUCUUAAAGAGCCGGUUGGUGUGGUUGGUGCAAUCACUCCAUGGAAUUUCCCCAUCGCAAUGAUUGCUCGCAAGGUUGGCCCUGCUCUUGCCUGUGGCUGUACUGUGGUCAUAAAGCCCUCUGAGCUCACACCAUUGACCGCCUUAGCAGCAGCUGAGCUGGCCCUUCAAUCUGGAAUUCCGCCUGGUGUCUUGAAUGUGGUCAUGGGAGAUCCUCCUAGCAUUGGUGAUUCUCUACUUGAGAGCACACAGGUCAGGAAGAUAACAUUUACUGGUUCCACUGGUGUUGGAAAGAAACUGAUGGCUGGUGCAUCAGAGACUGUUAAAAAGGUAUCUCUUGAACUUGGUGGUAACGCGCCUUGCAUAAUCUUCGAUGAUGCUGACCUGGAAUUGGCAGUGAAGGGGAGUUUGUCAACUAAAUUCAAUAACACUGGACAACAAUGUGUAUGCACAAAUAGAAUACUUGUGCAAGAAGGUAUAUAUGAUAGAUUUAUAAAUGCCUACUCAAAUGCCGUCCAGAACCUUAAAGUUGGCAAUGGUUUAAGUGAAGGUGUGACCCAGGGACCACUUAUCAAUGAAGCUGCUGUGAUGAAGGUUGAUUCACUUGUGCAAGAUGCUAUCUCAAAGGGAGCAAAAGUUAUUAUGGGUGGUAAGAGGCAUAGCUUAGGGUUUAGUUUCUACGAGCCUACGAUUAUAGGUGAUGUCAGGAAUGAGAUGCCCAUAGCAAGAGAGGAAGUAUUUGGACCUGUUGCACCUAUUAUACGGUUUAAAACCGAAGAAGAAGCUAUACAGAUUGCAAAUGAUACUAACUCAGGACUAGCUGCUUACGCGUUCACAAACUGUAUUCAACGCUCAUGGCGCGUCUCUGAAGCUCUAGAAUACGGCAUGGUUGGAGUGAAUGAGGGAUCAAUUUCUACAGAGGUGGCACCAUUUGGAGGUUAUAAGCAGUCAGGUUUAGGACGGGAGGGUUCAAAAUACGGACUGGAUGACUAUCUUGAAAUCAAGUAUGUUUGUAUGGGAAACAUGUGAUGAUUCUGGUUUUCAAGAUAUCUUGUAUCUGGCCAUUCUAUGCCAGUAAAUCGUCUGACGUUGUUUAGAUCCUCUGUUUUGGUUUUCAACAUCUGCCGUGGCCAAACGAAUGCAUUGGAGGAAAAGUUUUGCUAAUUUGACUUUUCUUACAAGUGUCUGUUUUAAGAAUUCCAAGCAGUUUUCUUGAAAUUGAUAUGUACGCGUUCAAGAAUCGAAGACCGGGCUUUCUUUUAUGCUCCAAUUAGGCUGCUUAGACUCCAAAUGUAUAGGUGUGAUCUGCAAAGCCUUUUUAUGGAAUUUACCAAGGCUCGUUCGGUGCCCAAUACUUAUGUAUGUGAUUCCUGCUGCAUUAACUUUUUC